Hyla sarda is the source of this 924-nucleotide long non-coding RNA. RefSeq lists it as uncharacterized. Lineage: Eukaryota; Metazoa; Chordata; Amphibia; Anura; Hylidae. The record is from RefSeq and is a predicted model, not a curated record. The transcript is spliced from 4 exons.
GCGAAGUCAUGCAGAUAUCAGAAACCACUGGCGGCGCUCCUGAAGAUAAAAAUAAAAGCAACGUUAGUAUUUGGGAACAGACAGAGGUACUGCUGAACACGGAGUUAAGGAACGACUGAAUGAAGAAGGAUUCACUAUGGAGGAUUCACUAUGGAGGAUUCACUAUGGAGGGUUGGAGUGUUUGAUGUUCUUCAGCCUGCUGGGUGUUAAAAUAUUAAGACACGUGUGAACAGAAGUAUAGGACGGCACCACUAGUCACAGGCAAAUCGGGGCCGGUUUUGCGCAAAAUUGACGGUAAUUACAGCCACGGUCCACCGGCAUCUCUAAGUAGGAGCAUCGAGUCGUUAACCUGGUGGAGCGCCGCCAGUGGUUUCUGAUAUCUGCAUGACUUCGCUCCUUACAGCGCGAGGUUGUUACCUAUCCGGCAGUCACUUAUCAAUUGGUUUACUCCCCUGUGGUGUGACUGAUGAGUUGUUGUCAUGUGAUCUCCGGCCCUGGUGACACGUCCCUGACUACACAAGCUAAAGCUCCACUACACUACGCUGGACCAGGAUAGAACCGUUGGCCACUAUUUGUUUAUUUACCUUUCACUGAACCUCGUUCGCAUGCAGCACUUCCUGAGCAUGUGAAUAGAAGGAAUGCUGUGACCUUUAGUUGUGAAGCUUUGUUGUUAUUAUUUGCAUAUUUUAUUGCUAAUUCUUUACCUAUGGCCUCCAUUUUAACUAUGUGUAAAUGUUUUUCUACACUUUUAUUGAUCUGUAUAAUUGUUUGAAAGCCCCACCCACCUUAUGUUGGUGCCCAAUUUGGUGUAUGUAAAGCACUGCUUGUGUUAUGUCAUGUAUGCCAAUCUGAGGAAGGAGGACUAAGCCUCCAAAACGCGUCAUUGGAUUUUUAUACUAAUAAAUAUAGUGCGACUGAGCACUU